UUUUGUCUCCUGUAACAAUUUACACGCCGUGUAACUGUGAAUCUUUUAAAGCCUCAGUUUUAUGACCCUGUGGAGCCAGGGGACUUUGAAGGACUUCUGAUGACACACCUGAACAGCCUGGAUGUGCAGCUUGCCCAGGAGCUUGGGGACUUCACUGAUGACGACUUGGAUGUGGUGUUCACGCCAAAGGAAUGUAGGACUUUGCAGCCCUCUUUGCCAGAGGAAGGGGUUGAACUGGACCCUCAUGUCAGGGACUGUGUUCAGACCUACAUCCGUGAGUGGCUAAUCGUGAACCAGAAAAACCAAGGAAGUCCAGAAAUCUGUGGCUUUAAAAAGACUGGAUCUCGAAAAGAUUUUCACAAGACGCUUCCGAAACAGACGUUUGAGUCGGAAACCUUGGAGUGCAGUGAACCCGCUGCUCAGGCAGGCCCCUGCCACUUAAACGUGCUGUGCGAUGUGUCUGGGAAAGGCCCCAUCACUGCCUGUGACUUUGACCUCCGCAGCCUGCAGCCUGACAAGCGGCUAGAAAACCUCCUGCAGCAAGUGAGUGCUGAGGACUUUGAGAAGCAGAAUGAGGAGGCCCGGAGGACCAAUCGGCAGGCCGAGCUCUUUGCCCUUUACCCCUCAGUGGACGAGGAGGAUGCUGUGGAAAUACGUCCAGUACCAGAAUGUCCCAAGGAACACCUGGGCAACAGAAUAUUGGUCAAGUUGCUGAACUUGAAGUUCGAGAUUGAAAUUGAGCCUCUGUUUGCCAGCAUUGCCCUCUACGAUGUUAAAGAAAGGAAAAAGAUCUCAGAAAAUUUUCACUGUGACCUGAACUCUGACCAGUUCAAAGGAUUUCUGCGAGCUCACACGCCUUCAGUGGCCGCAUCAAGUCAGGCGAGAUCUGCAGUCUUCUCAGUCACCUACCCGUCCUCAGACAUCUACCUGGUAGUCAAGAUUGAAAAAGUCCUGCAGCAGGGAGAGAUUGGAGACUGUGCAGAGCCCUACACGGUUAUCAAAGAAAGUGAUGGUGGAAAGAGUAAAGAAAAGAUUGAAAAACUAAAACUCCAAGCUGAAUCCUUCUGCCAGCGUUUGGGGAAAUACCGGAUGCCGUUUGCCUGGGCACCCAUAAGCUUAUCAAGCUUCUUCAAUGUCUCCACCCUUGAGAGGGAGGUAACUGAUGUGGACUCUGUGGUUGGGAGAAGCUCAGUGGGUGAACGGAGGACAUUGGCCCAAUCUAGAAGGCUUUCUGAAAGAGCCCUCUCCUUGGAGGAAAAUGGGGUUGGAUCCAACUUCAAAACCUCCACCCUGAGUGUUAGCAGCUUUUUCAAGCAGGAAGGAGAUCGCCUUAGUGAUGAAGACUUAUUCAAGUUUUUAGCUGACUACAAAAGAUCAUCAUCCUUACAGAGACGAGUCAAGUCAAUUCCAGGCUUGCUCAGACUAGAGAUUUCUACAGCUCCAGAGAUCAUCAAUUGCUGUCUGACUCCUGAAAUGCUGCCUGUGAAACCCUUUCCUGAAAACCGGACACGCCCGCACAAAGAGAUUUUGGAAUUUCCAACACGAGAAGUAUAUGUCCCUCACACUGUGUACAGGUAAGAAACACAGGUUCAGGCUGGGCGUGGUGGCUCACACCAUAAUCCCAGAACUUUGGGAGGUGGAGGCAGGAGGAUUGCUUGAGCUCAGGAGUUUGAGACCAGCCUGGGCAACAUGGCAAAACCCUGUCUCUACAACAUAUACAAAAUUUAGCUGGGCGUGGUGGUGCAUGCCUGUAAUCCCAGCAACUUGGCAGGCUGAGGCAGGAGAAUCGCUUGAACCCAGGAGGCAGAGGUUGCAGUGAGCCAAGAUUGCACCACUGCACUCCAGCCUGGGAGACAGAACCAGACUCUGUCUC
This 1873-nucleotide small RNA is filed under the name Pongo abelii (Sumatran orangutan). RNAcentral's name for it is "retained intron". Lineage: Eukaryota; Metazoa; Chordata; Mammalia; Primates; Hominidae. The record is from RNAcentral.